AUGGUAGGUAAUAACAUGGUGUGGCAGCCCCAAGUUGUAGAUGAAAUGCUACGUUACUACAAAGAGAAGAUUCAGUCUGAGGGAAAACAAUUUGUCUUCAAAGAGACACAUCAUGAGGAGUGUGCAAAACAAAUCAAUGCAAAGUUUACCACCGCCUUCACACAAAGGCAAGUUUAUCACAAGUUCCAUAAGCUGAAAGGUAAAUGA
Molecule: ribosomal RNA, 207 nt
Filed under: Triticum aestivum (bread wheat)
Lineage: Eukaryota; Viridiplantae; Streptophyta; Magnoliopsida; Poales; Poaceae
Description: partial small subunit ribosomal RNA
Source: RNAcentral